GCCAGCAACUUCCCUCCCCUCGACUUGGGAGGCCCCGGGGAGAAAGGCUGAAAGCAGAGUCAGGGCGGGGUUGGGGUGGGGGGACGACUUCAAGGCCCCCUUCCCUGUGCAUCUGUCAAAUGAAGACCAGGAGCCGCUCGCCCGAUCUGUGCCUCAGUCUCCCCAGUCGUGUGAAAGAGCCUGUGUUUGGGUUGGGAGGCUUCGCUGGAGACCUGGUCCCUCCAUGAAGACCAAGUGGGGGUCUCAGAGCCACCAUCCCCCCACCAGAGGCUUCCAGGGCUCUGGAAGGGGCAGGGAAGCAUGGGGACCCGCCCCCCAGGAUCCAGCCUUGGCUCCUGGGCUUCUCCGGUGAGCGUCUUUUGGACACUCACCUCAUACCUCGCCCCUCAUCCAAAUGCUGCCCCCUCCAUUAGCUCCUCAGAGGCCAAGAGGAGGGCUUGUAAUUCUCCUCAGCAGCCUUCUGCAGGUGAAGCAGUCUCCCAGAGAGACCAGGUGACUUCCCACUCAAGGCGGGUGAGGACUCAAAUCCAGCACUGGUCAUGCCGAGAGCGCCUGGGGAAGCCAGGACCCAGUGACCUAGGGCUGGGGGUCAGUGCUCUGGGGAGGGCUGAAGAUCUGUCAAAUACAGGCAAGGGGCAGCUACACCCAUGCAGACCCCUCAAGAGCACUCACACCUCCGUGAGAGUUGUCUGAGGCCUCUCCCAGGUGGCUCUGGGGAGUGAGGGGUGCUGUGGGGUGCUGGCUGCCAAGGCCAGUUCUAAGCAAUUCAGACAAGAAAGAGCAGGAGUCCCAGCCCACCCUGCAGUCCUACUGCUGCCCUGCUGGAGGCCACGCUUGUCCCCCAGGGAGUCCUCAGUUUUAACAUCUGUAAAAUGGACGGGCUGGAAUAAGACACAGUCCGGAGGCCAUCCUGGCCCUGUGGGGCAUUUCAGUCAUCACCAUGAAGGGAGGGAGUCAGCUACUAGCCUGCAUCCAGGCAGGGACGUGGGCGGGACAGUCCAUGAUGAAGCACGGUCUUGUCCAAAUGCCAGCGGUGCCCCACGGAGAAAAAACAGCGAAGGACAACACAGCGCGGUUUGCCAGGCACCAGGCAGGCACUCUGCCUACAUCGGCUCAGCCAGGUCCAAAACAGCCAGGAAAGCUCAGCUCUGGGACAGCUGGAAGGGUCCCUCCCCAGGUGAACUCACCAGGACUGAGCAGGUGCGCCUGCCCACCCCCAGGCCUCAGCAAGCAGGACUCCAGGCUUUUCUCCUGCCUAACCUCAGUCCUUCGUCUCCAGCCAGGGCCUGGGCCAGAAAGAACCACAAACCACAAACCGACAACCAGAAAAGCUGCUGCGAUUUACUAAACUUCAAUUUAGUUUUCACCGAGCUGCUUUUGCUUCUCCCAAAGCAAAAGAAGAAACAGACUUCUCUCAAACAUGAAAUAAAGGACAGCGACACAGGGAAGGACCCCGCACUUGGCUCCCAGGGGUGGGGAGCAUCUUCUUCCCUCCCCGCUCCUCCCCACCUCCCCACCCUCUCAGGCUUCCGGCUCCUCUGCAGGCCAGCAGACCAGCCCCUAGGGUAGAGCCAGGAGAGCCAGGCCCAGAGAGGGUCCCGCAGGCUCCCCUGGGCCCCCAGCGCCCCCUCCCCACCUUCCUGAGCCUCCGGACCUGCGGUGGCCCCUCCCUCUCUGCUUGCCCCCAUUCCCUCCAGCACCUGCCUGGGCUGGAUUCACUUUGACCUCUGCAGUGCCUGGCCCAGCCCAGGUGCUUGGAGAACUCGGGGGACUGUGAAUAGAUACGUAGGAUCGGGAUUGAACCUCCUGAGCUGUUUAGAUGCCUUGUGGCCCACAUCUCACGUUUCCACGGAAGGAGGAGCUGGGGCUCCACUCCCCACAGGGAACCAUGAGAGAGAACCUGAGGCCUCCCCCCUCCUUCCUCCACCGCCCACAGCCCCACCUGCGUGGGAGUCCGGGCCGAAAUCACUGCACUGCAGGCCACUUCUGAGGCCCCCCUCUCUCCUGUCCCCCUGGGGAGCUGCAAUGGCUGGUCAGAGGUGAGGUUUGCUAGACAGUCUCCUCUCAAAUGGGCAAGGCCUAGACCCUGGGAGCAGGUCAUCAGAAGUCCGUUCUACCCCAGCAGCACCAGCAACAAACCUCCACCUGUUUGAGUCCCUGGGAGAGGGGAUGCUCUGCUAGCUUCCUCAAACCCCAGCAGCACAGCCCUCUCCCCACAUGGACCACAUCUGGGGGAACCACGUCCUCCUCACCUUGAUGUCUCUGCGCCCCAGCCUGCACCACACCUCGUGUCCCCCACCCGGGUGUGGGGACGUGAACGGAUGAUCCCUGGGCCCUUCCCACCCUCCUCUCCCAGGUAAUCUAUUUCUAGAUGAAUAGAAAGGGCAGCCCUGCUCGCAGGCACUCGCCCAGGCUGAGCCAUGUUCUAAGAGCAAGAAGGAGGCCACAGUGGGGGCGGGGGCCCUUUUCCUCCACGGUUAAUGCCCUAAAGCCUCUCUCUGUACGUGGUUAUCUGACACUGGUGAGCCUGGGAGCACGUCUGGGGCCACAUGGACAGCAUCACCUUCAUCUCUGCAUCCCCAGGGCCUGGCUCCAGGCUCAGAACACAGGCAAUUCUCCAUCAACAACCAAAGGCAGGUCCCUGCCCCGAGCCAGCGUAGCGCCACCCUCACCAGUGGGGACCCAGGGCAGGGGGCGGGGGGCAGCAGCAGCAUUCCAGGUCCACAGAGUGGAACUCAGACCUUGCACUGAAUUCUUGCAACUCGCUUAUAUGAUCAGGUGUGAAACAUAAUCCCUGACCCUUCAGUUAUGCAACAUGCCAUCCGAGUGUGUACCAAGUGUGUACUGAGCUCCCGCUGUGUGCCAGACUCUGCUCUUAGCACUGGGGAAAUGCUGGGAGUGAAAACAGAUACAGACACCUGCCCUGUUAAGCCCACAUCCAGUGGUGGUGCAGGGGAGACAACAGAUACAUCUACACACAGAUGGGGAUCCAGGGCUUAUGAAGAGACACAAGGCAGGUGAGAAGAAAGGAAAUGGCCCGGCAGGGGCUUUGUGAAGGAAACGAUAGUCAGGGAAGGCUUCUCAGAGGAGGUGGCAUUUGAACAGAGACUAAAAACAGGAAGGGCAUGAAUCAUGUAUCUGAGAGAAAAGCAUCCCAGGUAGAGUCCAGCAAGUGCAAAGGCCCUGAGGUGAGCAUACAAUUAGCAAUCAUUGUUCAAGGAACAGCAAGGAGGUCAGGAUGACUGGACAGCAGUAGGAAGGCGGAGAAGCAGGAGAGGAGGUCGGGGGCGGGGGGGGGGGGCUCCAAGCACAAAGCCAAGCAAGGCCUGGUGGGCCACAGUAUGGAUAGAGAAAGCAGGGCCCACUUUGAGCACAGCAGCCAGGGACUCAGGACAAGAGAAACCACAGGCUCCAUGCCAGCCACCCACUCAGGCCACAGCAGUUCACAUCAGUUGGAGGGCUAAGCAAGCAUAUCUCAUUGGCACUGGGGCCCACCAGUUCAGCCCAGAAAAUGCCCAGCCUUUUUAAAAAAAUUUUUUUGGCCAUGCUGCACAGCAUGUGGGAUCUUAGUUUCCUGACCAGGAAGCAAACCUGCACCUCCUGCUUUAAAAAUGCGGAGUCUUAACCACUGGACCACCAGGGAAGGCCCCAGAAAAUGCCCAGCCUUGACUGUCCCCCUCUCCCAGGGCAGAGGUGCUAGCCACCAGCUCCUGCUUGCUCGGUGUCUCCUACUGCAGCGGCCCCCACCUCCAUGCAAACCCUCAGACCUCUCCUUCCCACCUCAACCCCACCCCACCUCCUCUUGCCAGAACCACCCAGCUUUCUAGCCCAGCGCCCAAAGGGGCAAGUGUCUUUGUUUGCAGCUGUUGCUAUUGAGGGCUUCCCACUAAUGC
Molecule: long non-coding RNA, 3893 nt
Organism: Bos taurus (domestic cattle)
Lineage: Eukaryota; Metazoa; Chordata; Mammalia; Artiodactyla; Bovidae
Source: Ensembl